Anolis sagrei ordinatus is the source of this 319-nucleotide non-coding RNA. The record is from RefSeq and is a predicted model, not a curated record. Lineage: Eukaryota; Metazoa; Chordata; Lepidosauria; Squamata; Anolidae.
GCGCGCGCGCGAGCAGAUGCAGGGCGCGCGAGGAGGAGGCGGCGGAGGAGAAGGAGAAGCGGGCUGCUGCUGCUGCUGCGGCGGAGAAGCGAAGCGGGGCUCGGGUUGUUGAACUAGAUAAACUCUGGGAAAUACAGAUUGCAAUCACUCAUCUCUGCUUAAGGUGUGGGGGCAAUCCAUACUUCCGCUACUGCCUGUCUACACUAAUUGCAUUGAUAACAGUCUUGAUUAAGUACUUUCCUAAUGGAUUUAUCUUGAGGCUGGGAAAAAAGAGAACCUUCUUCUAAUGCCUCAGAAACUUUAUUACUCAAGUAACCAG